This is a long non-coding RNA of Gadus macrocephalus (Pacific cod), 314 nucleotides long. RefSeq lists it as uncharacterized. The record is from RefSeq and is a predicted model, not a curated record. The transcript is spliced from 2 exons. Lineage: Eukaryota; Metazoa; Chordata; Actinopteri; Gadiformes; Gadidae.
AAUUAUUUGUAUGUUGGUCUUGGUCUCAGUUAUGUUACCUUCUUUUUUUUUUCGCCUUUUAAGAGGUGGGGAGGCAAGUGGUGGCGGGUUGUCGCAAUCCACCAGUGUGGGGAUGGCAUCUCUGUUGGAUCUUGAUGCUGUGACAACGGACAAGUCUUCUUCCUCUUUUAUUAUAUUGUUGUUCCUCUGUCCUUUUUUCCCUGCCUAUGUUCAGUGUUGUUAAAUCAUUUCUCUUUUUUUUUAAUUAUUUACUAUGUUACUGUUCUUAUUGUGUUCUUGUGUGAUGUUUGAAUAAACUUGCCUGUUGCAAUGUU